Molecule: ribosomal RNA, 244 nt
Filed under: uncultured bacterium
Lineage: Bacteria
Description: partial 16S ribosomal RNA
Rfam family: Bacterial small subunit ribosomal RNA
Source: RNAcentral
CGGCGACCGGCGCACGGGUGCGUAACGCGUAUGCAACCUACCUUUAACAGGGGCAUAACACUGAGAAAUUGGUACUAAUUCCCCAUAACAUUCGAGAAGGCAUCUUCUUGGGUUAAAAACUCCGGUGGUUAAAGAUGGGCAUGCGUUGUAUUAGCUAGUUGGUGAGGUAACGGCUCACCAAGGCAACGAUACAUAGGGGGACUGAGAGGUUAACCCCCCACAUUGGUACUGAGACACGGACCAA